AUACGUAGGUGGCAAGCGUUGUCCGGAAUUACUGGGCGUAAAGGGUGCGUAGGCGGUUCAUUAAGUGGGAUGUGAAAUACCCGGGCUUAACCUGGGAACUGCAUUCCAAACUGGUGAGCUAGAGUGCAGGAGAGGAAAGUGGAAUUCCCAGUGUAGCGGUGAAAUGCGUAGAGAUUGGGAGGAACACCAGUGGCGAAGGCGACUUUCUGGACUGUAACUGACGCUGAUGCACGAAAGUGUGGGGAGCAAACAGGAUUAGAUACCCUGGUAGUCCACACUGUAAACUAUGAGUACUAGGUGUAGGGGGCGAAGCCCUCUGUGCCGCAGUUAACACAUUAAGUACUCCGCCUGGGAAGUACGAUCGCAAGAUUAA
RNAcentral lists this ribosomal RNA (373 nucleotides) under uncultured bacterium. RNAcentral describes it as "bacterial SSU rRNA". It matches the Rfam family "Bacterial small subunit ribosomal RNA", at positions 523 to 897 of the family's 1533-position model. The record is from RNAcentral.